GGAAAACAGUAUGAGAAUGCCUGAAUAUGUCAUCUCUUCAGACCAGGCACUGUAUAAUUAAGCACAUCUAUUACAUUGGCCACUAAAUAUUGGGUUAUGAACUCCUCGUCUCUCUGAAGAGUAGGUACAGAUCUGUUUCCUGGGCCUCUCAGGCAGGUGGACGUGGUCCAGUACAAGGCAGAGCCAGUCCCAGUGCAGAUGUGACCCAGGGGUCCAGAGCCUCCUCCUCCAGGUGACCCUUCCAACAUGAGGCCCUGCUUUCAUCCCUGCUGGCACACAGCCAGCACGCUUCAAAUCUUCCAGCCCAGAAGGCCAACUU
Molecule: long non-coding RNA, 319 nt
Organism: Cygnus olor (mute swan)
Lineage: Eukaryota; Metazoa; Chordata; Aves; Anseriformes; Anatidae
Exons: 3
Source: RefSeq, a predicted model, not a curated record